ACGAACGCUGGCGGCGUGCUUCACACAUGCCAGUCGCACGGAAAGGCCCUGCUUUUGUGGGGUGCUCGAGUGGCGAACGGGUGAGUAACACGUGAGUAACCUGCCCUUGACUUUGGGAUAACUUCAGGAAACUGGGGCUAAUACCGGAUAGGAGCUCCUGCUGCAUGGUGGGGGUUGGAAAGUUUCGGCGGUUGGGGAUGGACUCGCGGCUUAUCAGCUUGUUGGUGGGGUAGUGGCUUACCAAGGCUUUGACGGGUAGCCGGCCUGAGAGGGUGACCGGCCACAUUGGGACUGAGAUACGGCCCAGACUCCUACGGGAGGCAGCAGUGGGGAAUAUUGCACAAUGGGCGGAAGCCUGAUGCAGCAACGCCGCGUGCGGGAUGACGGCCUUCGGGCUGUAAACCGCUUUCGCCUGUGACGAAGCGUGAGUGACGGUAAUGGGUAAAGAAGCACCGGCUAACUACGUG
Molecule: ribosomal RNA, 467 nt
Filed under: uncultured bacterium
Lineage: Bacteria
Description: partial 16S ribosomal RNA
Rfam family: Bacterial small subunit ribosomal RNA
Source: RNAcentral